Molecule: long non-coding RNA, 753 nt
Filed under: Numida meleagris (helmeted guineafowl)
Lineage: Eukaryota; Metazoa; Chordata; Aves; Galliformes; Numididae
Description: lncRNA (ENSNMEG00000016710.1)
Source: RNAcentral
CAUCAAAUGAGAGAUCCCUCUCUGAAAGGGGCUAUGUAGAAGGCUGUGAGUAAGCCACAUGCUGUUUUUCAUCUCCCAGCAUUGUACCCUUACUCCUCCUCUUUAUAUUGAAAUAACACAGUGAAACAGGCUGUGUGUAUCUGGGGGAGGAGAGGGAAACAGAGAAGUUGCAACUAUGGGGAUGGAUCUGGAGCAAUCCAGAUUUUCAUUUGCCCCCUUUCCACACUAAGGUUGUGGAAGCUUUGCUCCUGACCCAUUUCUUCUUCCAUUAUGCUGUAAUGUUUGGAAAAAUACAGAGAAGGAUUUAUGGAAAGUGCUUCAAAGUCUAAUUUUCCUCUUAAAAUCUCCAGUAGAUAUCUCUCUGAGCUCCGCUUCACAUGGGUGAAAAAUGCCUUCAUUAUAAGGACUGAUCAUUAGUGGAUGUGAAGUUGAGAAGAUGAUGAAGAUGAGUUGUUGGCUCUGGCAGAGAAUUGACCCAUCAGUGUCAUUAAGUGAACUGCAGCAAGCCCAGCAAUUCCCAUGGGGCAAAUCAUCGAAUUCCUCUGGAGCAAAGAAAGUCGAAAAGCAUGAGAAGUUCCUUCCCUACCUGAACUCAAGAUUUGGUCCCAUGACCUGUCACUUCCAGCACCUUUCUGUGAAUGAAAUAUUGCAGAAAAAAUAACCUGAGAGUGAAAUGGAAAACAGGCUUUCCAAAUGGACCUGAUGCUGAAACUUGAAAAUAAAACUGUGAUUCUUAGGCCUAGGAAAGAAAGA